UAUGAGUUAUUCCCAUAUUCUAAAAAAUUCCAAAAAUAUAAAUUGACAUUAAAUGUAAUAUAUGAGUUAUUGUCAUAUUUUAAAAGUUUACCAAAAAUAUAAAUUAAAAUUAAAUGCAAUUGUCCAUGUCAUAUUAAGCUAUAAGACAUGUCAUCAAUUUUAGUAGCCAUGUCAUAUUUGUUUUGUGAAAUUGAUUGUAGAAAUGACAUGUAGCAAAAUCACUCGUAAAUAUAAUCUAGAGUCUAGAUAGAUAGAUAGAUAGAUAUAUAGAUAUAUAGAUAGAUAGAUCACUCGCAAGAAACCUAGCAAUAAAUCAAUUGCAUACUUUUAAAUGAAAUCAUCAAAGGUAGAAGAACACUACACAACUAAAUAUAUUUUUGUUUCAAAUUUAGAAACUUUGGUCCAUUCGACUCUUGCAAUGGUGCAGAUUUUUCCUUCAGAGUCUUUUUCAACACGCAAGAGAACGCGGUCUACGUGAAACAAAGGCCACACCUUUACAAGUUCUUAGAGAGGGUGGUAGAAUUGUUUCAUGUCGUUGUCUUCACUGCGAGCCACAUCAUCUAUGCAUCACAACUUCUAGAUAUAUUGGACCCAAAUGGAAAGUUCAUAUCGCAGCGUUUUUUAUCGUGACUCAUGCAUUCUUUCCGAAGGAAUUUACACGAAGAAUUUAACUGUUCUGGGUCUUGAAUUAGCCAAAGUGGCUAUAAUUGACAACUGCCGGCAGGUACUUCAUCUAACGAAGUAUACGAACCUUGACUUUAUUAUACGCUUAUAAGGAAAUGUCGAGUAAGUAUGUUAAAAUCCGUUUUUUACUAGUCAUUUUGUUUUGCUUAAACAACCUUCUUUUGCUUCUGGUUUCUUAUUUCCUUCCUCUCUUAACCUUUUGGUUGUUUGAACCAAAGCCAUGUAAUCUUCAUACUGGAAGCUGUUUCAUAAUCUGUUACCCAAUCCAAAGCUUGUUUAUAUUCAUGUAGAUGAUAGUAAGACUUAUAGCAGACACACUCACAGAUGAUUAUCAAUGUGUAUCUCAAUUUCAGUAAGGUUGUUAAUCAAUUUCUGAGGGUUUUUUCCUCAAAUUUGUGUGGUUUGCGAUUGAUACAAGGUUCAUUAGUAUGUAUGUUGAUCCUUAAUGUUGUCCCGACUGAAAGUCUUGGAGCACUAGUAGAAGAACACAAAAAAGAAGAAAAAACAAUUACAUUGAAAAGUCCAAGACUUGCAGCCAAUAAAUGUUAAUACUGAAAACAGUACAGAUACAAUAAUGUAGAAAAGAUGAAGAGAAACAUAUGUGUGUGGACGUAACUAAGACAACAAAUAGGAAACUUCCGUCAAGUUGUGCUACACUCCAAUCUCCCAAGUUAUAUGCUCUUAACAUUCUUCAGAAGAUCAAUCACCAAUUCCUUCUUUUCAUUCAAAUUAUCUUGCUCCUCUCUCUCUCCCAGUCUCUAUGGCUCUCUCAUUAUCUUCUUCUUCUUCUUCUUCCUCUUCUCGCACUUGUGUGUACGAUGUUUUCCCUAGCUUCAGUGGGGAAGACGUCCGUGUUAAUUUCCUCAGCCACUUUCUAAAGGAGCUUGACCGGAAACUGAUCAUUGCUUUGAAAGACGACGAGAUCGAGAGAAGCCGAUCACUGGAUCCCAAGCUUAAACUAGCCAUUAGAGAUUCGAGGCUAGUUUAUCAGAAUAUGGGUAAUGCAGAAGAUAAAUCAAGGAGACAAAAUAGAUACAAGCAACCAACUAUGCUUUAUUAGAAAUCGCCUAAACAAUUUAUUACAAGACUUGUUUAUCAGCUUUACACAGCCUGUUAACACCCUAACAGCUGCUACUGAAAGAUUCCUAAUCUACCCAAACUUGUCUCUUUCUCGUCAGUAUUUCAGCAACUGCUUCCGCAAGACCCAAGAACACGCCUAAGAGAUUUUCACCCUUCCUCUAUAAUAAUAGCCAGUGUCUUAUGGAAUACAGACGACUCCAUAGUUUUUUUUAUAGUGAUCUCCACGUUCCUGAAACCAUAGUCUCCAAGGAACAUGAAUAUGGACAACUUCCAUAUCAAUAAGUAUACUUUCGUUUUCUUGAAAUGAACUUAUUCUUCAAGGCAUAAACUUGCUCCCCAAGUUUAUUUCUUGCCUUUUUCUCUAUGGUAUAAACUUGCUCCUCAAGUUUAUCCCACGCCAGCUCAGCAUCUUGCAUCCACAUGGUCUCUACCACUCUGCAUGCCUCCUGGUUCACUCUCUGACACACACUGCCUCAGCAACUACGUCAACGACUACGUCAAGACAUAAACCCUCAGUUUAUCCUUCUCCAUCUCAGCAUAUCUUGCAUCCACAUGGUAACCCACCACUCCGCAUGCCUUAUGUAGUAACGACUAAUGCAUCCAGCAUCAGUGACUUCGUCGUCUAGUUAGUCACGAAAGACUAUUGACAUCUACAAGCUCCACUUGCAUCUUCAUCUUGCUGGAUAUCAUUCUUAAAACUGGUAAGACUUUAUCUCCGUUCAUACCUGACAUGUUACUAUUCAUAUGAUCAUCCAACUGAUGAUGGUUUGAUUACUAUAGUUCCUUUCUUGGAGACUUUGGCUGUUGCUGAUGAUGUUCGGCCUAUCAUUGGCAAGAGAUUUGGUAACAAGGAAUGAAAUAUGAUUACUAUUCUUUAUGGUAAAAAGGAGUCUGGUUUGAUUACCAUACUUUCUUCCUUCUCUUUUUCUCAAUCCGAGUGCAGUGAGCUCGUUCAGUGCAGUGAGGAGUAAGUUCUCCUUGCUUGCUCGAUUGUUUAGAACCUUAUGAAAUAGAAGACCUAGUUAUAGGCUUAAAUCCUAUUCUAUUGCUGGUACUUCUCUGCCAAGAUAGAGCCUAGAUCUUGCAGUUUGUUACAAAAUGUACAGUUGGCUAAGCUGAGAUAAUGGAUGUGUGUACAAAUGAGUUAACAGCGUGAAAUCAUUAUGAAGUUAAACACCAGCUGCGUUCAUCUCUUUCUCUCUGAUCUUAUCCUAUACUGUUGAUUAAGCUUGAGAAUCUUGCUUGGACUGGAAUACCCAAACCCUUAGUUUGGAUUGUUUUCAGAUACAAUUACAUAUUAAACCAUUCAAAUGAUGCAGAAGUUGAGCUUGAAUCUUAAGUCUUACUAGAUUUUGACCCAUGCACCCACACGAAUGUUUACUUUAUCUUUUAUAUAAGUAUAUAUUUGUUUUAAGUAGACAGUGUUAUAUUAUUAUUUUAUAGUAAAUAUCUUUUUUAUAAGUAUUAUAUAAUAUUUCAUAUUUUGUUUCAAAAAUAUGUUGCUAUUUAUUUUUCGUGUCACUAUUAUAUAGUAUAUCAUACAUGUGUCAUCAUAUAACUAAUUGUAUUAGUAAUCAUAUAAUUAAUAGUAUGGGGGAUUUGCCAAAUAUGACUCAAAACAUGAUUCUAAAUACAAAACUAUACUCAAACUUGAAUCAAAUGCAAAACUAACCUAAAAGCCUUGUGAAAUUACAGCCAACCCCUUGUGACCAAACAAAAAAACAGAACUCAUUUUUAUAAAUAUAGCCCUGGAAAGUCGUCUGAGUCUUCUUAUAUACUGUAAGUCGUCUAGACGACUUCCACUUCCACGGAAGUCUUUUGGUGUAGUUGAUCUUAAAAAUAAUUUUUAAAUUUUAAAAAAAAUAUUUUGACAAAUGAAAAUUAAAAUCAUGUAAUUAUAAACAAUUUUAAGUAAUAUAAAUUAAGAUAUAAAAAAAUUGAAUAGUUUUCAGCAUAGAUAAGUGAAAGUAGUUAAUCGUGAUAUUCUUUGGUUUAGGGUUUGACAACAUAUGUUGUAGUAUUGUAUGUAUUCUUAGGGUUAGAUUUUGGAAAGCUUAAAUAUUUUUUUGAAAAAUUAAAAUUUUACCUAUAUGUGUUUAUUUCUGUGUAUAGUAAAUAUAUUUUAAGUUUAAUUUGAUUUUAUGAAGUGUUUAGUUAGUUAAUUUAGUUUAGGGAUUAUGUUUAGGGUCUUGACGACUAACAAGUAAGUCGUCUAGCGAUUAUAAAUCUUCUUUGAAAGUCUUCAAACUCACACUAAAAAUAUUUUUGUUUACCGCUAAAAAUAUUUUAGUUUCCCACUAAAAAUAUUGAAAUCUUCUAGGCGACUUACAAGUAAGUCUUCUAUUAGAAGAAUUACUUGAAAGUCUUCUGAAUCGAUAAUAUUUAACCUUAUUGGAAUUCUUGUCAACAUAUAUAAAUAAAAAUUUACACAGUCUCUCUCUUCCUCUCAAAUGGCUGCAACAAAAAUGGUAUGUUCCCCAUUCUAAUACUCUCCAACCUCUCUCUUUGAACUUAUAAACACCAAACUUUAUAUCAAUUUAUGUUUUUGUCUCAUGUCUUUAUUACUAGUUUAUCUUGUUUUACCGGAUUUUCAUCACAUGAUUCUCAUCUUCCAUUAAUUUAAAGGUAGAUCUAUUAAUUUUAGAUAUGUAAUUUUUGUGUGUUCUAUAAAGGUAGAUAUAUCUAAUCUUCCACUCAUUUUUUCUGUUUUAAAACCAUUUGAACGUUUUUGGAUAUGCAGGUUUUUCAGAUUUGGAUUUGGAUAUACAUGUUUUUCAGAUCUGGAAAACUUCUGGGACGACUUACCUGUUAGUCGUUUAAAAUAUAAUGGGCUAGAAGACUUCCAGGACGACUUACCUGAAAGUCUUCUGACGGGGUCUUCUCACAUGUCUCCAUUUCAUAACAGAUCUGAGCGUUUUGAUGUGGAGCAGACUUUGAAAGAUUUAUAAGAAGUCUUCUCGGAAGUCUUCUAAAAUAUAAUGCGCUAGAAGACUUUUCGAAAGUCUAGACUUCUCGGAAGUCUUAUGGAAGACUUCUUGGAAGUCUUCUAGCACAUUAUAUUUAAGAAGAUUUUCGAGAAGACUUCCUAUAAGUCUUCCAAAGUCUUCUAAAAUAUAAUGUGCUAGAAGACUUCUGGAGACUUCCUGGAAGUUUUCUUCCAUAUCAAGUGGAGUCCAAGCUUGUCUUUGUAGAUGAAUGAUCUAUAAUAGUUUUGUUUCUGGUAUGUUUUGUGAUUUGCAUGUGUACUCCUUUAGUUGUGAUUUUUUUUUUUUGUAAAUUUGAAGAGAUAUUAAUAAAAAAAUUGGUUAAAAGGAUAACCAAAUAGAAGAGGGAGAAAUAACUGGAUGGGAAAAGGUAGCGGGAGAAAAGGUUGGAAGAAGUCCAAUAUCACAAAGCCUGAUGUAUGGCCAGGUGACUAUUGCAACACCUUCUAGGUUUGCAGCUUUGAGAAAUACGAAUGAAAAAGGAGAGGAGAUAGAUGAGGAACAAACA
This is a long non-coding RNA of Brassica rapa (field mustard), 5256 nucleotides long. RefSeq lists it as uncharacterized. The record is from RefSeq and is a predicted model, not a curated record. NCBI's taxonomy places the organism in Eukaryota, Viridiplantae, Streptophyta, Magnoliopsida, Brassicales, Brassicaceae.